RNAcentral lists this ribosomal RNA (1086 nucleotides) under Triticum aestivum (bread wheat). RNAcentral describes it as "partial small subunit ribosomal RNA". Lineage: Eukaryota; Viridiplantae; Streptophyta; Magnoliopsida; Poales; Poaceae. The record is from RNAcentral.
AUGGAGUGUGGUCACUGCGGCGAGGGCGUGUCCAUCCCGCGGGGAGCACGCGCUGUGCAGUGCGCGCAUUGCCGCGGGGUGACGCGCGUCGGUCGGCGGCACGGCGCCGUCGGCUUCGUCGUGAACAUGAUCAGCAACAUGGCGGGCGGCGGCCGCACGAGGCCGGCAACGCCGCCGAGGCUGCGGGAGGCGGGCUACCCCAGAGCCCACGGCGACAAGCGCGCCCUCCUGGUCGGCAUCAACUACGCGGGCACGCAUCUCCGUGAGCUGAGCGGCCCCAUCACCGACGUCAAGAGCAUGAGCUUCCUGCUCACCCAGAAGUACGGGUUUCCAAGCCAGUGCAUCCUCGUCCUCACCGAUGAGGAGCGCGAUCCGUACAGGACGCCGACCAAGUGCAACAUCCUGCUGGCGAUGCGGUGGCUCGUGCACGGCUGCAGCUCCGGCGACUCCCUCGUGUUCCACUUCUCCGGCCACGGCGACCAGGUGCGCGACGACGACGGCGACGAGCGGGACGGGAAGGACGAGGUGCUCUGCCCGCUCGACUCGGACCCGGACGACUACGGCAGCGACAUCCGGGACGACGAGAUCAACGCGGCCCUGGUCCGGCCGCUCGUGCACGGCGUCAGGCUCCACGCCGUCGUCGACGCCUGCCACAGCGGCACCGUCCUUGAUCUCCCCAACCUCUGCAAGAUCAAAAGGAACGGGGAAUCUGAAUGGACGGACCAGAGCGCUCCGAACGGCGCCUGGAAGAAAACGAGCGGCGGGCAGGCGGUCCUGAUCAGCGGCUGCGCCGACACCCAGACGUCGACCGACGGGAUCGGCGACGAGCUCGUGGGCAUGGGGGCCCUGACGUACAGCUUCUUCACGGCGGCGCUGUUCGCGCAGCGGACGCCCACCUACGCGCAGCUGCUGGCGACGAUAAAGGCCAUCAUCCGCGAGCGCAACGCCGACGGGCGGAUCAACUGCAAGCUCCCCGCGCCCGUCUGCUCGCUCGUCCGCAAGGUGGUCAACUUCAGCGGCGUGCAGGAGCCGCAGCUGACUUCGUCGGACAAGUUCGACAUCAACCGGACGCAGUUUCUGCUAUGA